Molecule: ribosomal RNA, 253 nt
Filed under: uncultured bacterium
Lineage: Bacteria
Description: partial 16S ribosomal RNA
Rfam family: Bacterial small subunit ribosomal RNA
Source: RNAcentral
UACGAAGGGGGCUAGCGUUGUUCGGAAUAACUGGGCGUAAAGGGCGCGUAGGCGGCUUUUCAAGUCGGGGGUGAAAGCCUGUGGCUCAACCACAGAAUUGCCUUCGAUACUGUUAGGCUUGAGACCGGAAGAGGUGAGUGGAACUGCGAGUGUAGAGGUGAAAUUCGUAGAUAUUCGCAAGAACACCAGUGGCGAAGGCGGCUCACUGGUCCGGUUCUGACGCUGAGGCGCGAAAGCGUGGGGAGCAAACAGG